CCCUUAGAUGUUCUGGGCUGCACGCGCGCUACACUGAAGCGUUCAACGAGUAUUCACCUUGCCCGGGAGGGUUGGGUAAUCUUUUCAAAACGCUUCGUGAUGGGGAUAGAUUAUUGCAAUUAUUAAUCUUCAACGAGGAAUUCCUAGUAAGCGCGAGUCAUCAGCUCGUGCUGAUUACGUCCCUGCCCUUUGUACACACCGCCCGUCGCUCCUACCGAUUUAGUGAUCCGGUGAAUAAUUCGGACUGCAGCAGGCCUGGUCUCCGGGUUUUGCAGCGGAAAGUUUAGUGAACCUUAUCACUUAGAGGAAGGAGAAGUCGUAACA
RNAcentral lists this ribosomal RNA (324 nucleotides) under uncultured eukaryote. RNAcentral's name for it is "partial 18S ribosomal RNA". It matches the Rfam family "Eukaryotic small subunit ribosomal RNA", at positions 1470 to 1796 of the family's 1831-position model. The record is from RNAcentral.